Molecule: ribosomal RNA, 276 nt
Filed under: uncultured Glomeromycotina
Lineage: Eukaryota; Fungi; Glomeromycota
Description: partial large subunit ribosomal RNA
Source: RNAcentral
CAGUCGUGCCGGCGGGGAUUCAGCGAACUUCGCGGAGUGAGCGUAUUUCCUCGCAUGGCAGGUCAGCGUCAGUUUUGCGCGUCGUGAAAGGGCUCGGGUAAGGUGACUCUCUUCGGGGAGUGCUAUAGACCUGAGCAGAUGCGAUGCGCGGGACUGAGGAUUGCAGCGGACACCCUUCGGGGGCGCGGCGACCGAUCCCUGCUCCGUCACCUUCGUCCGAUAGCGUGCUAACGGUCGAGGGAGCGGCGGUUGCACCGGGUUGGCAAGCCGGCGGCU